CCUUGAGGGCCGCAGUGCCCAGGUCCCGACAUGGGCUUACUGAGACCAAUUCCCUCAGAGCUGUUGGCCCUAACCUGCUUUUUUGUUUUUUUAGUUCUCGGCGGACACAACAUCUUUGUUGCUAUGUGAUGCUGAGGAUCGAACCCAGAGCCACACACAUGCCAGGCGAGCACGCUACCGCCUGAGCCACAUGCCCAGCCCCCCUCACCUGCUUCUUAAGGGCUGUGACCAGCCCCUCCCUCUAGUCCCUUAAAGAACAUUUGAAGAGUGAUACAGAGAAAGGAACACAGCAGCCAGCGUGCCAGCGUGCCACUUCCGGGAGCAUCUGUGCCCCUCCUCCCCCUGCUAUCUCCGAUCUCUCCCAUCCACACAGGACGAUGACAGCCGAGCAGGAACUGCCAAAUCAGACGCAGCCUUUCAGAGCGACAUCCUAUUUUGAAGUCUGUUUACUCUACAAAAAUUAAUCUCCUCGAUGCCUGGAGGAGGAAGAUGCAUAUCAAACAAAGCCAGCUCUGGAUCCCACCGCUCUCCAGGUACAAGCUCAGGGAAACAAACUGCUCCUCCCCAGGCGUGGACACAGGAUGUGUUGGGUUUCAUUAGUUAAUCACACACCCCCCCACCCCCAGAGGCCAGAGCAGAGCCUUGCUGACGUCUUGGAGGUUGUGGGAGGGAGCAGAGGACAAGGUGGAGAUGGCAGUGGCCAGGGAGCUGGGAGCCACGUGGUCUCGAUGGUUGCGCGAGACCUUGUGUGCCGUGGGGCUGGUUGCUGUGGCUCCUGUGGUCAUCACUUCACUGGACGCAGCAGGCAGACAGGGAGAGAUGGGCCAUCAGAGCUCUCUCCCACUCUGCUCCCACCAGCUCUGUGACCUGAGUGGCCACCUCUGCUUUUCCUCUUCAAUGAACUGACUGGUCACUUAUAUGCUGGCUUGUGUCCUCUGCCACCAGAUUCCUUUGCUGAAGUCCUAAUCAGAACGUAACUGUUUGGAGGCAGGACCUUGGGGUACGUGAUCAGGUUCAAACAAGGCUGCCGGGGUGGACCCUAAUCCACUUUGAGGGUGUCCUUACAGGAGAAAUCUAGGCCCUCAGAGAGCCACUGGGAACGCUCCAGAGGAAAGGCCACUGAGGACAGACAGGGAGGCGGCUCUGCUGGCCGAGGGAGCGGCCCCUGAGAAAUCAGCCCCGUGGACACCUCCAUCCUGCCCCCCGGCCCCCUGAGCCACGGGAAAGGUCGUCUCUGCGCUCAAGCAGCACAAUGUGGGUACUCUGCUAGCACAGCGCCAGCGGACUCUUAGAGAUGCCGCCAGUCCCUUCUCUUCCACAGCCCAAGGUCAUUUCAAGGGCCCGAGAAAAGCCUGCAGGCAAAAGUGUCUGGGAAUCAGAAGGAAAGGUGCAGUUCUCUCCAUUCCUUUUUAUUCCAUUAAGGAGAAGAUCUCGUUUGGCCAAGGUAUGUCUUCAAUGUCUUUCUGAUACUGGAAAUCUCCCUUCAAAGAAGAAAUUGAGAUAAAAUUCUCUCAACAUAAAAUCCUCCACGAACUGUUUUCAGGUGACUCUUCUGUAGCCGUAACCACAGCAUUGUACGGCUGUCACCGCUCGCUGGGGCUGACACACCCCGUCCUCCAGGGCCUGGUGGUCCCAAGCUCAUCUUCAUCUCUGGAUUUUCCUACUCUGGACGUUUCAUAGAGUACAUGUCACAGGAAUUGUAUGUGUGACCUGGGUGCCAGGUCUCUGUCACCACAUGCCUUGGGUUCAUCCAUGCCACAGCAUGAUUCGUGCCUCUCACCUUUUCAUGGCUGAAUUAUAUUCCAUGGAAACCACGUUCUGUUCAUCUGUCUAUCCCCUGAUGGACAUUUGGGUUGUUACUAUCUUUUGGCAAUUAAGGAUUGUGCCCCCAUGAAUGUCAGUGUGCAAGAAUGUGUCUGAACGUCUAUUUCAAUUCUCUGGGCUACAUACUUAGAAGUGGAAUUUCUGGGUCAUAGGGUGAUCCUAUGCUCACAUUUUUGGAGAAUGGAUCUCUCCUGUUCUAAUCAAGCGAGAGCUCGUCAGGAUUCAGACCUUCAUGGGAGAGAGCGCUCAGAAGAAGUUUGCAGAACUCUUGAUUUCUAACAGCCUCACGAAGGCCAUGCUGGAUUUUCAUCUGUAGGAGCAGCACGAUAUGUUUUUCUUAAAUAAGUGUUACUGUAGCCAGACGUGGUGGUGCGUGCUGGUGAUCCCAGCAACUCAGGAGGCGGAGGCAUCGCAAGUUUGAGAACAGCCCCAGCCAUUGAGUGAGAUCCUGUCUAAAACAAAACAAUUUAAAAAAAAAGCCUUUUGAUGUGGCUCAAGGGUUCAAUCCCCAGUAUCAAAAAGGAAGAGAGGGGGAAAAAAAGACAAAAGAAUUCAUGUUACUCAGGAAACGGGCAGAUGCAAACUUACUUAGAUGCAAACCUACUUACAGGCGACACUGUCCAGAGGGCUGGCCUCCGCGGGCAGGCGUCUCUGUCUGGUUUACUCUGAGCCUCCAGGCCCUCCUCUGGGGCCUGCAUGACGUCGGGUCCUGGGUACACGAUCCCUGAAUCAACGACUGUACGUGAUACACCUCUGAACAGUGUCACACAGACGUCAUUGUCCGAGCGGGAUGUGGCUCUGACGGAAAUCACAAAGGUGGAGAGCAAAUGCCUAAGAGCUGGCACGGUGGCCCCAGGCACACAUGAGGGUGACACCCAGCCCUGCCACUUGCUCACCCUGACUGUGGCCUAUUUCUCAUCUUCUCUGAACCUCGGUUUUCUCCUCCGAAGCUCGGGGUUAUGGGGGGAUGCAAGGUGCUGGUGUGUGCGGCACACUCAGCAGAGGUCGGCCAGGAUCAUCUGGACCCCCUCAGCUGCAGCAGGGGGCUCAGAAGUGGGGAGACACGGGAGGGCUCAGCCUGCAGGUGGUGGGGGAGGCUGGGAGCCCCGCUGCCAGCACAUGGUCAGGGCUGCCGGCACUUUCUGGGCAGGGCCGGCCCUAGGCCCACAUGGGCAUGGUUGUGCGUGAGAAGCCGCAUCCGAUCCUGCAUUCGUUCAGGGCUGGCGGCCUGCGAGUGUGCUUUCCCCGUAUCCUGGUCGGCAGGGCUGGCCCAGAGCUAGAACCCCCUACGUUACAGGGCGCAGACCUGUGCUGAGGAGGGCAGAGGGGUUCACGCAGCAGGUCAGCCUCAGGGUGGGGAUGAGAGGGUUGGGGUGGCUUGUCCUGUGGCGCUGGGACCUGCCCGCCAGCCUCCUGCCCCAGGCUGGGCCCGGGAAUUCGCAUUUGAGUUCCCACCUUGCACUUGUUCUGCGGAGCUUUCCAGAUUCCGGGGCCUCUGCAGGGUAGACAGGGCCCCCCGGAUCUCCAGGAGACUUCACCCUUCACCCCAAGUUGGAAGAGCGGGCGUGGGGCAAGGGCGCACCACCAAGCUGCUGGGAGGGGACGGGGCAGGGGAGUCCCUUUCAUGGGCCACUUUCUCCUUCUGCCGGGGACACUGGGUGAAGCUCAGUCCUCUGGGUGUCACGGUGCUGGGAGCAGGGCCCCGGCAACCACGCAGACGCCUGCCAGUUGGGGCCGAGUUAAGUGGGUACAGGUAACAGGGCUCAGCUGGGGACCUGGGACAUGUGCCCAUGGGGAGCAGAGAAGCCACCAGGUCCAGGCCCAGCACCGUCUAUCUUGAUGUGACCUGUGGAGGCAGCGAGAUGAGUGGGUGUCCCUCCCGGGCCCUGGGGGCUUAUCAUGGUUAUUGGCUCAGAGGGCCUUGGAGAGCCGCCGUCUGCAGAGUGACAUGGAAUUUAUUACUCCUUCCGCCGCUCCACAGCCUUCCCCCAGCGCUUUUCUUUGGAAAAAUGGUUCCUGCCAAUCUUGCUGUUUACUUAAGCGGUUAUUUAUUUAUUUCUCCCGCUGCCGGUCUGAGCACUUCUUGGUAACUUCACCGCCUCUUCACCCGCGUAGAGGACCCCAUAAGGAGAGCCCGAGCCCUGAGGAGCAGGCAGGAAGACAACCCGCGGUGGACAAGCUGCCCAGUGCCGCGCCCCGUGCUGGGCCCUGGUUGGCCCUGUUACAACGCACGUCUGAUUCUUAUGCAGGUCAAAGAGGAGAAGAAAUGAGGGGUCUGAACCAGCCGCCUGCGUGCCUCCGACGUGUGUCCCCCCGAGGCCAGGGCCAGUCCCCGUAAGCUCUGCGGUUCCUCCGGGGAAGGGAGUGAGUGGAGGGUCCACACUGGUAUUUUCAUUUUCUGACAUUUGUCUGAGCCCUGUAAGCUCCUGAGCCUCUGGAAUGGCCGAAAGGCUCAGGAAGAACUGGGCACCAGCCGGCCCAGAGGCCUCUGCAGUGAGACAGCACCGGAGCCCCUCCGGGAGAGGCAGCCUUGGCUGAGCUCCCUGAGCUCCAGGUGGAAGGUGGAUGGCUGUCAGCUGCGUCCCCAGCCCUCCCCGUCCAGUCCUGACUUGGAUUCACAUCUCCUCUGGCAGCAGCGGCUGCUCUUGCUGCAAGGUGGGGAAGAGAGAUCAGCUUCCCCACAGCGUGAAGUAGCAGGAAGUGUGCUGUCAGCUUCUGCGGCUGGCGAGGUCUUGGGAGGGAGCGGCCUUGCUGUGUGUUUUGGCCAGGUAGUUUUGCCUCUUUGGGCUCAUCAGUAAACAGAGACGGAGGGCUAGAGCGCUGGCAGGGAGGGCAGCCCACUCCUGGGGGAGGAGGGGCACCCCAGAAGGACACUCGUCUCUAGCUUGGAUGCUUACUCUGAGAUCCGAGUCUGGGUCAGGCAGGGCCCACACCCAGCCCUGCAACCCUGGGAGCAUUUAAAAAGACCAGAGUGGCCAGCUGGGGUCCCCUUGAGCUUGGGUGUCCUUGGUCCUUCCUUGAGGAGGGCUGAAGCCCAGCUUCACAAAUGGGGCUGGAAGCUGGCACCGGCCUGAGUUGUCUGUGAGUUAGCGUUUGCUUUAAAUAGAAUCACACUGUCCCCUAUUUAAUAAAAUGCAAAUAAAAGUGCCAAUACUGUCUUUCUUAUGAAUGACCUGGCACUGCUAUUCCAUUCUUACAAUAACUCAAAGAGGUGGGAGUGACAUUAUCAUUCUUCUAUAGACUGACAACACUGAGGCAGAGAGGUUAAGUAACUUACCCAGAGUCACGCAGCUGAGACUUGGCAGAACAGAACUUGAGCCCAGGCCUAUCAGAGCUCGAGUUCAGGAGAUAACCUCUAGGCUACACUGCCUUCUUCUUACCGUAAUUGUAGAAGUCCUGGAGGGACGUUUACUGAACAGCUGUGCCUCGGAGUCCUUUGCUGGAGGCUGAGCUGGUAAGCCUAGUUGGUUGUGGCUGGUUGAGUCCCAAAGAGGCCACUUUGAACUUUAUGCCUUGAAAAACUAGAAGCUACCCCUGUGGCCCCGGCCAUUCUCUCCAGUAUCCUGCCUGGCCUGACCCUGUCAGCACAGCCCAUUGCCUGAGGUUGGGCAGGGGUUGGGGGACUGUCCAGAGACUCAGCAGGGUAGGGAGUAGCACCCCGGCUUCUAGGCCUUUCGUUAGUUCAGCGGAAGCUCUGGCCACAGGCACGGAGCUCGGGCAGCUGUGUAUCUUGGUAUUUUUCUUCCUUUCUUAGGAAAAAAUGGUGAGAAGAGUUGAGAGCCCUCUGACACACGAUUUCAGGGCACAGUAAGAGGACUUCAGGAGAAUCGGUUCUGUUACCACAGAAGUAAGAGCAGGAACUGCCCCUGCCCUGCCUGACUCCCACCGCCACUGCCCACGUCCAUCAUGCCUGGAUAGUGCCGGGCAGGCGGGAGACGGCAGCCCUGGGACCUGGCACCGUGGCACAGAGGAAGGUCUGCAGCUGGGUCAGGAAACUGAGGGUCCUUGGGGGACAGACAAGGACAGGCUGGGCUCCCAGCCACCCCAACAGGCUCGUUUACGAACCCACAAGACAGAACCCUGGUUUUUCUAAGCUGACGAGGCUGGCUUCAAACUUGCAGUCCUCCCUUGUCAGCCUCCUGCGUCUCUGGGAUUGCAGGUGCGGGCCACAGCACCUGGCUUGGACCUGUCUUCUUGACCGUCUAAGGGUCUCUGCUGUUCCAGGGAGCAUCCCAAGCAGAGUUAAUCUGUCUGUCCCUCCAUCGUCCAUCUCCCUCCUCCCUCCCUCCAUGCCCAUCAGUCCACCUUCCUUGUCCCCAUCCUCCCAGGGACAUGCUGACUGACAACUCUGAGAAGCCCAAGUGGGUACAGUGAACGUCCCUCUGGCUCUGACCCUCUCUGCCUUCUCCUCGGCGCAGGACGCGGGCUCAGGAUGGUACCCUCAACAAGGCUCUGCCACCACCUCAAGCUGAGUGACUUUGGCCAGGGUUCUGGACCCCCCUGAAUUGCAUUCCCUUCAUCAAAAAGGAAGAACGCGAGCUGGGAGUGGCGAUGCAGCCUGUGAUCCGGUGAUCUGGGAGGCUGAGGCAGGAGGGUCGCAAGUUCGAGGCUCACCCUGUGGUCUGCGUGUCAACGUCAAACCGUCUUCACGUGCUGGUUCUUCUGUGUGGAAGACUCACUGGUUGAGAAAACUCACAAGGACAAGAAGCUACUUUGAAUUCAGUCGUGGUUUAAAAUCAAGUUAUAAUUGGUCAUUCGAAGCCGCACGCGUAUGCAUUUGAGAAAUAACCCCGGCCUGGGCUUUGUCCUGAAGGGGAACAGCUUCGACUCUACCAGAGGCCCCGCGAGCGCACUGCCCCCGCUGUCCGUCCAGAGCAGCCCAGGGACCUCUCCCGCACAGCUCCCGCAACUCUAACAGAUUGUAGUCAUUUGUCCCUCUGUAUGUGAAUGUCACUCUCCCCGACUAGAGAUGAGUGCCACCAGGGAAGCAUGCACACCUGGAGCUCUCCAGGAUCAGAGGUUAAAACUGGGCGUGUGGGUGGG
Molecule: non-coding RNA, 6867 nt
Organism: Ictidomys tridecemlineatus (thirteen-lined ground squirrel)
Lineage: Eukaryota; Metazoa; Chordata; Mammalia; Rodentia; Sciuridae
Source: RefSeq, a predicted model, not a curated record